CCUACGGGAGGCAGCAGUGGGGAAUUUUGGACAAUGGGCGCAAGCCUGAUCCAGCAAUGCCGCGUGCAGGAUGAAGGCCUUCGGGUUGUAAACUGCUUUUGUACGGAACGAAAAAGUCUGCCCUAAUACGGUGGGCCCAUGACGGUACCGUAAGAAUAAGCACCGGCUAACUACGUGCCAGCAGCCGCGGUAAUACGUAGGGUGCGAGCGUUAAUCGGAAUUACUGGGCGUAAAGCGUGCGCAGGCGGUUAUAUAAGACAGAUGUGAAAUCCCCGGGCUCAACCUGGGACCUGCAUUUGUGACUGUAUAGCUAGAGUACGGUAGAGGGGGAUGGAAUUCCGCGUGUAGCAGUGAAAUGCGUAGAUAUGCGGAGGAACACCGAUGGCGAAGGCAAUCCCCUGGACCUGUACUGACGCUCAUGCACGAAAGCGUGGGGAGCAAACAGGAUUAGAUACCCUGGUAGUCCACGCCCUAAACGAUGUCAACUGGUUGUUGGGUCUUCACUGACUCAGUAACGAAGCUAACGCGUGAAGUUGACCGCCGUGGGGAGUAACGGCCGCAAGGUUGAAACUUCAAAUGAAUUGACGG
RNAcentral lists this ribosomal RNA (588 nucleotides) under uncultured bacterium. RNAcentral describes it as "bacterial SSU rRNA". It matches the Rfam family "Bacterial small subunit ribosomal RNA", at positions 338 to 916 of the family's 1533-position model. The record is from RNAcentral.